This 806-nucleotide ribosomal RNA is filed under the name Cryobacterium sp. NA-9. Its description in RNAcentral is "bacterial SSU rRNA". It matches the Rfam family "Bacterial small subunit ribosomal RNA", at positions 28 to 847 of the family's 1533-position model. Lineage: Bacteria; Bacillati; Actinomycetota; Actinomycetes; Micrococcales; Microbacteriaceae. The record is from RNAcentral.
GACGAACGCUGGCGGCGUGCUUAACACAUGCAAGUCGAACGAUGAUGGAGAGCUUGCUNUUCGGAUUAGUGGCGAACGGGUGAGUAACACGUGAGCAAUNUGCCCUUGACUNUGGGAUAAGCGUUGGAAACGACGUCUAAUACCGGAUACGACCCUUGGAGGCAUNUCCGGGGGGUGGAAAGAAUUUUGUUCAGGGAUGAGCUCGCGGCCUAUCAGCUAGUUGGUGAGGUAAUGGCUCACCAAGGCGACGACGGGUAGCCGGCCUGAGAGGGUGACCGGCCACACUGGGACUGAGACACGGCCCAGACUCCUACGGGAGGCAGCAGUGGGGAAUAUUGCACAAUGGGCGAAAGCCUGAUGCAGCAACGCCGCGUGAGGGACGACGGCCUUCGGGUUGUAAACCUCUUUUAGUAGGGAAGAAGCGAAAGUGACGGUACCUGCAGAAAAAGCACCGGCUAACUACGUGCCAGCAGCCGCGGUAAUACGUAGGGUGCAAGCGUUGUCCGGAAUUAUUGGGCGUAAAGAGCUCGUAGGCGGUUUGUCGCGUCUGCUGUGAAAACCCGAGGCUCAACCUCGGGCCUGCAGUGGGUACGGGCAGACUAGAGUGCGGUAGGGGAGAUUGGAAUUCCUGGUGUAGCGGUGGAAUGCGCAGAUAUCAGGAGGAACACCAAUGGCGAAGGCAGAUCUCUGGGCCGUAACUGACGCUGAGGAGCGAAAGCAUGGGGAGCGAACAGGAUUAGAUACCCUGGUAGUCCAUGCCGUAAACGUUGGGAACUAGAUGUGGGGACCAUUUCCACCGGUUUUCC